RNAcentral lists this small nuclear RNA (20 nucleotides) under Arabidopsis thaliana (thale cress). RNAcentral describes it as "snRNA_00774". Lineage: Eukaryota; Viridiplantae; Streptophyta; Magnoliopsida; Brassicales; Brassicaceae. The record is from RNAcentral.
UGAUGUGACGAGAGAGUUUG